RNAcentral lists this ribosomal RNA (257 nucleotides) under uncultured bacterium. RNAcentral's name for it is "partial 16S ribosomal RNA". It matches the Rfam family "Bacterial small subunit ribosomal RNA", at positions 524 to 776 of the family's 1533-position model. The record is from RNAcentral.
GACGGAGGGUGCUAGCGUUGUUCGGAAUCACUGGGCGUAAAGGGCGCGUAGGCGGCCAGGCAAGUCGGCUUUGUGAAAGCCCGGGGCUCAACCCCGGAGGUGCGGCCGGGACUGCUUGGCUGGAGGCCGGAAGAGGAGGGGUGGAAUACCCAGUGUAGAGGUGAAAAUUCGUAGAUAUUGGGUGGAACACCGGUGGCGAAAGCGGCUCUCUGGUCCGGACCUGACGCUGAGGCGCGAAAGCGUGGGGAGCAAACAGG